This is a long non-coding RNA of Equus caballus (horse), 10976 nucleotides long. RefSeq lists it as uncharacterized. The record is from RefSeq and is a predicted model, not a curated record. NCBI's taxonomy places the organism in Eukaryota, Metazoa, Chordata, Mammalia, Perissodactyla, Equidae.
AACUGAAGGUCUGUGAAGUGUCUGUCCUGCCCAUUCCACCGCCAUCUCUCCUCAGGCCUCUGGAUGGCCACAGGUGUGGCCAUGUGGCUGGGAUCACGGGUUCUCAUUAGACUCUAGGGAAAGGCAAGCCUGUGGCUCAGAAUGCCCUUUCAGUUAAGGCCCCUGAAGAACUGGUAAUGGGUUCUAAAGAGAUGUGGAUAUACACAGACAAUGGGCUUGGGCAGCAGCUCUCCCAGGCACAUUUGGAGGUUCCAAGAACUCUCCCCAACUGCUCCAACCCCUCUUCCCCAUCAAGUCACUCAUUUUCAUUGCUCCCCAAACACGUCUCACCAAAUGUCUAGGCAAUCUCCCCUCCCACAAAUGAUGGUCUCCCCUUCUCUUUCCAAUCUCCCUGGUGAAUCCCACGUUUCCUAAAUCAGCUCUGAGCACUACUGAAAGACCUCAAAAAGCAGCAGACUCUGCAAAAAUCCCCAGCUUUUGCCAAAGUGAUACCCUAGCCCCCAGCUCCACAAAGGACGGUGAGUGAAUCUCUUCUCCCCUCCUGCUGGAUGCAAGGAGACAGGUAAUUUGAAAGCAAGGGGAGUGAGGCUGGACGAGGUGGCCCCUAGGGCCAAGGACUGCCGGGGCUGCAUGUGUAUAAUACAGAGACUAGUACCGCCUGCCGGGCUGGCACUUGGAGUCCACUUUUCCUGUGAUCCUUAGUUGCAAAUCUUCUCAGCCGUUCGGCAGGCACUCUCCUAAUCUCUCCAGCCUCAGCAGGGCCACACCCUCCUGCUGCUUCCCUGUGCUGUGAUGAAUGCUGCAGAGCAACGAACAGCCACUCGACGCCCAUCUCAGUCUCAGCGUCUGGGACAAAAGCAGCCCAGGGCUGGUUCCUGUAGCCCCAGCUGGCAAAUAAAACCUUUGGGACUCACAGGAGCCCAGCAGGGCGCACAGUAGGCCAGGGCACCCUGUGCAUGGUGGGAGGUGUGUGGGAGGUGGUGGGGCCCGAGGGAGGCAGAAGAUCACACCCACCCAUGAGCCCUCCUUCACAUGAGGUGUGAGCGAACAAGGAACCAGGAGAGGAGCUUUGCAACGGGCUGCUCUCAAAGGCUCUGGCAGGCGCGCGCUCUCCAUGACUCAUCCCGCUUCCCUCUCAGGACUCCUUAAUGCCUUUUAUCUGCCACAAAUGUUCUUGUCAGGGAGCUGGUAGGUGUUAGAUGUUCAAGCAGACUCAGGGGUGCGAGCGCACACACACACUCGUUUGAAAAGCACAUUUGUCUCACUUAAAAACAAACAACAACACCACACCUUCCUGCCUUAAAGUACUCUGGGAAUGAACAGCCUGCCUCUGACUUCGGAGCUCCCCUUCCACGGCCUCUAAACAAUGUGGCCCUUCUCCUCAACAGGAAAGCAACACGUCCGACUGGACCCACAGUCCCACCAGAGCAGGCGUGGGGCAGCAGGAGGGAAGCAAGGUGGAGUGCACAGAAAUAAGGACGGGACAGCUGAGCUGAGCGGGACACCGCCACACUGGCCUGCCUAAAGCUGGGGCAUCGAGGCAUCGGGGGCAUGCCUGGGGCAGGGCCGCCGGGGCGGGAGCGGGGAGGAGAACAACUGGAACUCUUCAGAAAUGGUGAAGCAAGUGGGAGAGAACGUCAGUGAGAGCAACAUGCCAUGAAUAAACUACACUCUCUAUUUUCUCCCUCUCCUUUAGCCAUCAAUAACAGAAUGUUGUUUCCCAAAUUCUCAAGUCACCUUUAACAUACACUGUGAGGUCACUGAUCUAAAAAGCCUGAAGUCAUUCACCUUCCCAGCACAGAGGUGGGAAUCCAUCCUGGCUGAAGAGGUUACAACUCCGCUCCACAGACACGUGGAGAAGAAUGGGGAGCGACCCCUCCCUGUAGGAAGCUGAUGGCUCCAGGAGGGUGGCAGGCGGGCCAGUACAUGAAACCGCAGAAUGCAAUAGCUGAUGUAAGAGGGGUGCCCAGAGGACACCGUGGAACACGGAGGAGGAACCACGUUUCAUACAGCAGAACCAAGGAGAGCCCGCGGCGGAGGUAGCAUUUGGGCGUAACAGAAUGGGGGUGGGGGGGUGAGGUGGAAGUAGGGAACGAAGAGGGGAAUGUCGGGAGGCAUGCAGAUAUCUGGGACCACCAGUGGGGGCCCAUGAUGGGCUGGCAUGGGGCGGUCCCAUGAGGCUGGGAAGCAAGCUGGUGACUGUAGUGUGGAGGGGCUGGCCUGCCUCCCUAAGACCCCCUGUGGAGGAGACGGUCCUCAGAUGCUUUCUGGGGGGAGGUGGCCAGCUCCAGUGAGGGAGGUUGGAGAGGAAACCACUAGGGUGAGGGCAGGUGGAGUGGAAAGCAAUGGUCAGGGCUGAGAGACAUUUUGAAGGCAGAAUUCAUAGGACAGGGGGUCAAGUGAGGAAGGAGGCAAAAAUAUGUGUGUGCCGGCAGGAGGCUGAGGGCAGGCGGCUGAGAUUCAGGGUACGACGGAUGGCGGAGGGCCAGGGUGGAACCAGGGCAAGAAGGACCCAGAAGAAAGAGAAGCAUCUUGGUGCAGAACUGUGUCAUCCCGUUGCUGGGCCAGCAGCUGGCCUUUUCACUGGGCUCUGCACACCUUGGCACUGCAGGGGGUGUGGGGGUCAAUUACCAGGUGAGAGGUCAACAUCUAGCCGUUAUGAACAACACAGCACCAUCCAACACUGUGGGGCUGAAAAGUACAGACCAGCAGUGAGCUUGAAACAGGGACCUAUGUGGGGUCAACACUGAAAUGGGGGCACCAGAGACAAUGGCAAAAGCCAAAGCAAGCCAAGAAGCCUGACAGCCUCCUCGCUCAGAGGGCUGGCAUUUCACAACCACAGCUGGAAGGACAGUUGAGCAUCUCGGAAAGCUGGUUCUCUCGUCAGCAGGGACAAGAGCUGCUUGGCUGUUCUGGGCCUGGAAAGACCAGGGAAGAUCAGGGAAAGGGAGUCUGUCUCCAGGAAGCACCGAGCACUCUGCAGGCCUUAUUUUUAGAUUAAUGUGCUGAUGCUAUUACUAGCGCUGCUUCCCCACAGGAAGGGGCUGCAGGAGCGGGCAUCUUCGCCCGUCUGCUCUCUCAUUCAGCCGCACAUCCCUCACCCUUGCUACCCCCCACAGACGGUCCUAACUCCUCCAUUUUAAAGACACGGCUGCAUGAAACAUCCUGCAGGGCUCCUGGGUGGCAGCCCUGGAUCUUGAGCCCAGAUCCCCCCACUCUUCGCCCCCGUUAGUCCACAGAAACCCCACCAUGUACCCCGAGACAUACAACCUUCUCGAAAGAACCCCACGGGCAUGGCGUUUGAUGAUCUACACAAAAUAAAAUGACCAACCUUUUAACCUCACAUUACAACUGCACUUAAAAGGAGAAAAUGCAAGAAAUAUUUCAAACAUGCUCUUCCUGGCACUGGCUGAGCUUCUGGCUGACUCACUCUGCUUGUCCUCUUUUCCACAGAGGGAAGGGAGGAAAAGUGAGCAAAGACCACAAUUUCACUCCAUACAGAGACGUGGUUUUCUUACAUAAACACGGACUUCUCAGUGGAACGCUUAGCCCAUCUCAUCAAUUCCACAACUGCAGGGUAUUUUCUCUGAGGUCACUGCAAUUAGGUAAAUACUGCUUGUCUUACAGAAUGAAAUGAAAGCUGAGCGAGUGCAGAGACUCCUUCCCCGAGGUCACAGUUCACAGAAUCCUGAUGGCUCAAAACAACCCAGUAGUUUCAGGAAAAACCACCAGGUUCUCUUGGUCAUGAUUCAUCAGCUUAUAGGUUUUUUCUCACAUAAAAAUAUUAAGUUGAAUUAAAAUAUUCUUACAGGACCUGAUAUUAAAAUAUGGGGCUGGGGAAGGGUGACUACCAGUGUCACCGCAUUGCCAGGCGCCUUCUAUCCAUUACCUCUGACUGUCAGGACCCCCACAGGGAGGCAUUACUGUUGUGCUUUUACAGAUAAGGAACAGAUAAGAGAAUGAACUUAGAAAAGUUUAAAAACUUGCCCACGUCCUAUGACCAGAAGCCCUGGAUUCAGGCUUCACACCCAGCCUGGCUGGACGUCCAGCUUCGCUCUCCACCUGACCAGGUUGCUUCUUGGCUUCUAAAUGGCGCCAAGGUUGAUGUCAGUGGAAGGAUCUUUGGGGCAAUUUCCUUGUUUGGAAAAACACCUGCCCAGCUCUGGAAGGGGUCUACGGUCCAGGGCAGCACCUGGGGUCAGCACCCUGCAUUCAGUCCAGACCUUGCCUCCUAUUCGCUGUGCAACAAGAGGCUUGGCUUCUCGGAGUGCGUCUUCAUCAGGAAGGCAGGAGAGGAAAACUCAUCUCGAGAGUGGCCCUGAGGAGGAAGAGCCCCGGGCCCGGCUCUGGAACAGGGUCAGUGCUCACAAAGAAAAGGCUGCCAGAAUCAGGAAUAUUUGUAUCUCUGUGAUUAAAAUAAUAGUGUAUCACCACAGCUGCCUUUUUAUUAAUUUAAGACCUGUGAUGUAAGCGGAGCGGCAUCUGUUUCCUUUGUAGAAACAGAGCUGGGGCUGCCUCAGAGAACACUGUUGCCAGCUUGGGGCAGCGGUGAGCUCUGCCUGUGGAUGGGGGCGGUUCCUUGUUCAGGCAGUUUCCUGCAAGGGUGAGGGCAGACACCCUAGGGGCCCUGGGAAGGAUGCCACUGGCUGAAGUUCCUUACAGGAGGCCUGGACUCCAGAUGCUGCACUCACAUCCACUGUGCCACCACACCAAAUGACUCGGACUCAGGGAACACACCAGCCACCAGAGAGCUAAGUCACCCUUACACAGGGAGGACUGGCAAGUGACAGUCAACGAGGCUGAUGGAGAGUUCUCAUGCUAAAAGAUCCUCAAACAGCAAUACGCCAUGUGCUGGUGGCAAUGUCCAGGUGAGAGAAAGAGGACACAGCCAGCCUGGUAACAGCAAGCAACUCAGAUGCCUGUAUCUGGAAGAUACUUCACAGAACCAGUCUUUGUGCUACUGAAAAGAUCUUGAACAUGCAGAUGAACACACUCCAUAAAAAAGUCACCUUUCAUUUAGGAGACAAGAAAUGCUCCCGUCGGACAUGGCUCAGAGUUCAGGAGCUGAUUCCUGGUGAUCUCAGUGGGUGAUUUCGUGUUGACCCCAUUUUGGAGAGCUCAAGUUUAGACAACUGAGAGAAGAAAGCAGUCAGCACAACAUGGCUAAUGUUAAUUUGCUACCUGGAGGCUUCCAGGGCAGGGACCCCAGAAACUUUUCACCAUUCGCCUCUCUCACAUACAGUGGGGCUUUGCCAGCCACCUCCUGGGAACCCCCAACCAGAUGGGUGGAGAGGCCUCGACCGCCUGCACCUGGCGCUCAUCAGCAGAAAGUCACUUUUCCCUGGGCUGACAGUCCCUUCCCACAGCAAGGCUCAGAACAGCUAUGACGGGACCUCAACGCAGCUGGCUGAGGGCCCAGGAACCUCUGAGAAUGAAGCACUUCCCUGUUGCUUUCAGAUGGCUUGUCUAGAAGAUGAUUAAAUAAAAAAGCUUUAGUGAUCCUCUUUCUGCUCAUAAAUCUAUAAAUAUAAAUAGACAGCUGUCAGAGUAGUAACAUCAGAGGUUUCUGAACGUUUUUAUAAAACUCUGAUGUCAACUAGGACAUUAAGGGAAGUCAAAACACCUUAGCAGAAUGCUGCAUCCAGACCUGUCUUUAAAAGAGUCAGUGAGAGAUACUGAAAUCUGCACGGUUUUCCACUUCCUCCAAACAAACUCUGAGUGACAUGGGAGAACUCUUUCAAGUUCAAAUCCUGGGGGCUGAUGGAGAUUAAAAGAUAAAAAAAAAUCAACUCCAAACUAUGUGAACCCAAAACAAGGUCUCAUAAACCGUUUGUAAACCUCAAUUCCAUCUUGGCCAGGUGAAGGCUCUGAAGAGUCUCCAGGAUUUCCAGAACAUGGUCUAACAUCCAAGAAUCAGCAGAAAGCAGGAAAGCAAUACCUCUGCUGAAGAAUGAAUGAAGGAACGAGUGAAGGAAUGAACAGACGAUCCUUUGAUACCCUGCAGUGCACUGCUGAGGUGUAGGUAUGGGCCUAGAGGCUCCAGUGAUUUGUUUUAUAGAUACUUGAGGGCUUCCAGAGGCUACUUGUUUUUUCACUAGAUGCUGGGAACACAAAUGAAAGUAAAGACUCCUGGCCUCCAGAGCUCACAGACCAGUGAGGAAGACCGUGAGCAGAGAAGGUCAAUUCAGGGUGCUCUCAUGAGGGUCUGAACAACCUGCAGGAGGACGUGGAGGAGCCCUUAGACCCGGGGUUGGGGGGGGUGGGGUGGGGAGCAGAAGAAAGGCUUUGGCAAGGGGCUGGUCCACGGGCUGUUGGUGGCAGGUGAGGGGCAGUUGGUCAGCCUGUGAUGGUGAGGGUGGAGGGGUACUCCCAGCACAGGAAGCAGCUUGUGGGGACACACAGAGGCAGGACAGAGUGAGACCGGGCAACGGUGACAAGCUCAGAAGGCUCAGGCCUGGAGGAGGAGGCUAACUGCCUGGGAAGCACCUUGCAGGCGGAGGCAUUGUCACUGUACCCUGCAGGCAACCAGAAAAGAAGUUGAUUUUAAGUAGGACACAGACUUCUCCUUCUGUAUUUUUUGAAAACAUGACUAGAUUUGAAAAAAAAAGAAAAAGAUAGCUCUAACAAUGUGAAAAUAGGAAAUAUCCAAAAAUAAUUUAUUAGCUUAGAUAUGCUAAAAUAUCACUUUCAUUCUUCUAUAUUAAGACCCCCAAUUCAAAUCAUUAUAAUGGGGCAGAGUCACUUUCUGAUUGAUGAGAAGGGGGCCUGCUCCACAGAGCGGUGCUGAGCACAGCAACCUGGAUGUGGCGUACACCCCAUGGACGUCUGUUAUACUGAACACUAUGAGUUUAAGAUUCGGAUAGAACUGAGUUAAAGAGGCCCCACUUUUUACAGAUAUGAUAACUGAACCCUGCCUUGAGAAACUGACUAUGGCUGCCUAGAAACGUGUGCUGGAUGUUCCAAUAGAAACAGCUAUACGCAAAUAAUGACUUAGAUUUCUCCAGAAGGAUACACAAAGACAACGUGACCAGCCUUGUUACGUUAAAAACCAGAAAAAUAGGAAAGAACACCAUGCACGUCCAUGACACACCACAAAAAACAACUUCUCUGGUUGCCCCUGUCCUUUAUAGUCACCAGGAAAAGGCAGAAAAUUACUCAGGAGGGUGAAGUACAGAAAUGCUGUAGCCUGUUGGUUGGAAUAAACUGCCAUCUGCCAUCACGCUUUGUUAACACUAAGAAACUCCUUUUGUGUGUUGGCUGCAGGUGGGUGAGGUUCACAGGGUGGGCGUUACUGGCGUUCUCUGUAUGCUCCAGUCUAUGAGAAAGGUAACAGGGAGGAAAUUUGAAGAAGGUGUUCUCCAAGGCGCAGAAAGGGCUCCGCUUUGUGAAGUCACUAUACCAAGUGAAGGACAGCAUCUGGGGCUUGUGGGGAGACCAGAAGGGAGGGGUUGCCCUUGGUGGUGUUAGUGCCAUUAUUUAAUGUGCUGUGGGCACCGGCCAUGGGGGAGCGAAGCAGGCAGCUGGGCUCUACUCUUUGCUACUCCCUCUGGGUACUCAGGAGCGAAGGCAUUGGCUUCCAACUGGGGCAGCUCCCCUCAUCACCCCUGCCCCCAGAGACUCCCACCACACAGGCUAGUCAGCUGACUUUCCCAACUGUGUUUUGCCUGUCCAGAUGUUAAUGAGGAAGAUUCCAAAAUGAUUACAAUCCUCACACUCACAGGCUUCUUUCAAAAUUUGGAAGUAAACAUCGGAGGUAAACUGAUGAAAGUUUGUUACUCAAAGAAAAUCAGAGUGGGAUUAGGUGUCACAGGUUGACCCAUAUUUCUUUUUAUGAAACUGGCACCAUUUUGGGGGUUGCCCAACCUUCCCUCAGCCAUGAGAACAAAAGUUGAUGCCAAUAGCACUGAACAAGAGACACAUGGUGGCACUUGUGGAGCAGAGUGUGGUGUCUCUCUAUACAUGGCGGAGAAGUCUGCUCGGCAAGGCCCGAGGAUCAUCAUAUCUGCAUUCAGAUGCAUAACAGCCUGUGCUCACCAGAGGAGCACCCCAGCACCACCAGGGCAUGUCGGAGGACUCCAUAGCCCCUCUUCACCACACGCAUCUUGGGACCUGCCCUCUUCCACACCGCAGGUUCUGAGGCAGACAUAACUACAGAAGAACCUGCUUUCUCUGUAUGGCUUGGACUAACAUUGUCACUCUCACUGCUAUGACUGUUUAUUAGUAAAAGGUGCCCUUUGGAUAAGCAAAUUUGAUCUGAAUGAGCAGAGAGACUCGUGAAUGAGAACAACCUGCUUAAUUCCCUUGUUAGCUGACAUCUCCUGGCCUUCUUCACCUCUCCAGCUUGUGGUAUGUGUAACUGAUGUCUUGCUGCUUUGCUAUCAAACACUGGCCCUGAUGUCAGGCUUUGCUUUUAUGGGGCUGCUUUGAAAAGAAAGGUCUGAUCUACCUCCAGAACUAGAAGCUUCCACCUGUGCCCUAUAAGGAGCAAGCAACUCAGAGUAGGGAGGAAGGGUUGAAAUGGGCAAAGGCUUUGCCUCCCGGCUGAGGAAUGCAAGAUGGGACAAAAACCCAGUGGGGUGCUACUGAUUGAUUUGAGGAUCCCCAUCUGCCCGGAAAAGUGGACUCUAGUCCCAGAGAUCACCUUCUCCAGUGAGGGAUCACCACGAGGUAGGAGGGGGAGACCUGAACUUCUGGUGAGUCAAGGGCAGACAAAAGUUCUCCAAUCCUGUCCAAAGCAGCAAAAAGCCCUUUACAAAUAAUCAUGCAGCCGUUUCAUUUUAUAUACAGGUAAGUUGCCUUCCUUCUCUGGGCCUCAGUUUCCCUAAUGUGACACCUUAAACAAGCAACUAGGGUAGAGUAGCGGAGACAAUAAUCUUGAGUGUCCUGCUUGUUGAGUAAUUCUUAUUAUGAACCCACCAUGCUGCUUCCAGAAAUAGAUAAUCACUUCUUUUCACCUCCCAGCUCAGAGAAUGCCUUUAAAACAUAUUCAAAUCUUAUGCAGUCUAAAAGCUUGAUGACAAGAACUCUUAUUUUGGCAAGCGAUAUGAAUAGACAGUUCAUAGAAGAGCACAUUCAAAUGGCCAAUAAACACAAGGAACGAUGCUCAACCUUAGGAGUUGUCAGGGAAACGCAAAUCACAGCAACCAUCAGCUAUCACUUAUCACUCUUUAAUUUUUACCAAUCUGAUAGGUGAGAAAUCCUACUGCUGGUGGGUCAGGCAGGGUACGGCCCAACAUCAGCAGUGGAAAUGUAAAUUAAUUCAAUCUUUUUAGAAAGCAAUCUGACAACGUAGAUUUCAACUUAAAGGACACAUUCCCUUAUACUCAAAUCUCACUCCUGACAAUCUUUUCUUUGGUAGACACUGUUGGGUUAGUUUCCUACCUAGCAUUCAUUUCCUCUUCCUCUUUCUAGCAGAAUGCUCGGAGUCCUCAGGUUUCCUCUGCCUCUAUACAUCCCACCUGAUCCUCACCUGCAGUUCCUUUCAAGGACCUAUUAGGUCUAAGAGUAAUCUCAUCUCUCUUGCCCAUGACUGGCUUAGGAACACAGGCCUGAGCCAAUCAACUCCUGGAAUUCCCCUGGCCCCAGAGUUUGGUUCAGGAUUGGACAUGUGACCUACCCUGGACCAAUGGGACUGAAGCAGAAGUUUUCCAGGGGCUUCUGGGAAAGAUGAUUCCUCACUCUUUGGAGAGACACCGGAAGCCUCUCUCCUCCUUGGGCUGUUGUCACACACAGUGGCUGGGUGGGAGAUGGCUGCACCCACCUGGCUUUCAGUCUAAGAAUAAAGCACAACCAUGGAGGAAGACAGGGGCCUGCUUGAACCACAUCUGCCACUGACCUUUCUUGACAAUGAAUGCCCUUUGUUGGUUUUCUUUGUAAUUUACGAAGUAUUUUAAAAACAGAGAAAAGUAUAGAGAACAAGGUAAAAAAUAUCCAAAUGCCCACAACUCAGACUUCACAAAUGUUCGCAUUUUGCCACAUGCUCUAGUUCUACGGUAUUAAAUCAAACUUUACAGACACGUUUGAAGCUCCCUCUGUAGGUUUUCUUGACUCCCUUCCUCUUCCUCCCUCUCCAAAAGCAAUCGCUACCCUAAGUUGGCAGGUAUACGGCCCUUUACUUUUUAAUAUUUAUAUUAAUAUAUCUUAGAUUGAACUCUUUCAAAGCCAUAUUUUUAUCUACAUAUUUUACCUACAUAUACAUUUUUUGUAUAGCUCAACCUAAUACAUAUAUACACAAAUUUUUUCUCAUAAAUGGCAUUGCUGUAUAUAUAAUUUAGUAACUCUAGUCACCAAUAUACUUUUGAGGUUUAUCUAUGUUGAUUCCUGUCAUUUUAACUGCCACGUGGAAUUGCUUUGACUGGAUGUGCCAUAAAGUAUUUUUUCAUCUCCUACAGGUGGGUGUUGAGCUUGUUUUCCAUUUUUUCUGUUACAGGCGCUGCAUCUCCCGGUGCUCACGGAGGAGUCUCUUGAGGGUCCAACACUGGGGAGAGCUGGAUGUCACGCUUUAGUAGGUGCUGUCUGCAUUUACAAUCCUGCCAUGCACAUGACAGGUUAUACUCCAGUGCUUCCUCUCCAAUGCCCGCUCCUUCUUGCCAGCCUUCAACAUUUUAGCUAAUCUGCUGGCUGUGGAAUGGUUGCCUUUUGAGGUUUUAAUGUGCAUUUCCCGCAUUACUAAUUGAACAUCUUUUCAUAAGUUUACGGACUAUUGGUUUUCCCCUUCUGCAAAGAGCUUCUCCCUACACUUCGACCAUCUCUCUACUGGCUGGUUAGUGGCUUUCUCAUUGAAUGCUAGGAGUUCUUUGGGUCAUCUGAACUCAUUCUUUGUUACAUGUUGCAAAUAUCUCGCAGUGAGGGGCUUAUUUUUCCACAUUCUAAAAAUGGUUUCUACUGUCAUUCGUAAGUUUCAAAUUUUAUGUUGUGAAAUUUAUCAAUCUUUUCCUUUUAUUGUUCACACUCUUGUGUGUCUUGUUUAAGAAAUC